GACGAACGCUGGCGGCGUGCUUAACACAUGCAAGUCGAACGGAAAGGCCCUGCUUGCAGGGUACUCGAGUGGCGAACGGGUGAGUAACACGUGGGUGAUCUGCCCUGCACUUCGGGAUAAGCCUGGGAAACUGGGUCUAAUACCGGAUAGGAGCCAUUUUUAGUGUGAUGGUUGGAAAGUUUUUUCGGUGUAGGAUGAGCUCGCGGCCUAUCAGCUUGUUGGUGGGGUAGUGGCCUACCAAGGCGGCGACGGGUAGCCGGCCUGAGAGGGUGGACGGCCACAUUGGGACUGAGAUACGGCCCAGACGCCUACGGGAGGCAGCAGUGGGGAAUAUUGCACAAUGGGCGCAAGCCUGAUGCAGCGACGCCGCGUGGGGGAUGACGGCCUUCGGGUUGUAAACUCCUUUCGCUAGGGACGAAGCUUUUUGUGACGGUACCUAGAUAAGAAGCACCGGCUAACUACGUG
This 465-nucleotide ribosomal RNA is filed under the name uncultured bacterium. Its description in RNAcentral is "partial 16S ribosomal RNA". It matches the Rfam family "Bacterial small subunit ribosomal RNA", at positions 28 to 507 of the family's 1533-position model. The record is from RNAcentral.